This 409-nucleotide ribosomal RNA is filed under the name Actinomycetes bacterium. RNAcentral describes it as "Actinobacteria bacterium partial 16S ribosomal RNA". It matches the Rfam family "Bacterial small subunit ribosomal RNA", at positions 355 to 776 of the family's 1533-position model. The record is from RNAcentral. Lineage: Bacteria; Bacillati; Actinomycetota; Actinomycetes.
UGGGGAAUAUUGCACAAUGGGCGGAAGCCUGAUGCAGCGACGCCGCGUGGGGGAUGAAGGCCUUCGGGUUGUAAACUCCUUUCGACAGGGACGAAGCUUUUGUGACGGUACCUGUAUAAGAAGCACCGGCUAACUACGUGCCAGCAGCCGCGGUAAUACGUAGGGUGCGAGCGUUGUCCGGAAUUACUGGGCGUAAAGAGCUCGUAGGUGGUUUGUCGCGUCGUCUGUGAAAUUCCGGGGCUUAACUCCGGGCGUGCAGGCGAUACGGGCUGACUUGAGUGCUGUAGGGGAGACUGGAAUUCCUGGUGUAGCGGUGAAAUGCGCAGAGAUCAGGAGGAACACCGAUGGCGAAGGCAGGUCUCUGGGCAGUAACUGACGCUGAGGAGCGAAAGCAUGGGUAGCGAACAGG